GGCUAUCAUAAGAGCAACAAGAUCUACUCAGGAAAGGUGCCCCUAACUUCCUCACAUAAUGCUUUAAAAAAUAAAGACGUCGAGUUAGGUGGCAGGAAAUAUCACAUCAAAGGUUCUCCUGGUACUGGUGCUUUUGCUAAAUUAUACAAAGCUAGUGUUGAUGGCAACACGGAAGAAAUAGUUGCUUUGAAGGUUCAAAAGCCUGCAUUUCCUUGGGAAUUUUACAUGUACCGCCAGCUUGAUACGCGUAUAUCUGAUAUUCAGAGACCAAGCUAUGGCUAUGCUCAUGAAGUGCAUGUCUUUGCUGACGUCAGUGUGCUAGUUUGCAAUUUCCUGCCAUACGGAACUCUUCUGGACGCUAUAAAUUCCCAUUUAGUUGUUGGUCAGCACAUGGAUGAAGUUUUGUGCAUAUAUUACACUAUAGAGAUGUUGCACAUGCUUGAAACUCUACAUAGUGUUGGCAUAAUCCAUGGUGAUUUCAAACCUGACAAUAUGCUUGUCUGCUAUCCAAGUGAAGAGAUCACAGACGAUACCUUCAGGAGCGAAACGAGAAGCGGGCAGAAUCAGGGGCUGUGUCUUAUUGACUGGGGCCGGGGCAUUGAUGUGAAUCUCUUCCCAGCCGGCACGGAGUUCCUUGCGGAUUGUGGAACCUCAGGGUUCAGUUGUAUCGAGAUGCAAGAAGAGAGAAGCUGGACAUAUCAAGUUGACACUUUUGGUCUGUGCGUGGUUGCACACAUGAUGCUGCACGGGGAAGAGAUGAGCAUCGCCAAGGUGCCCGGAACAGGUGGAAGCUACAUGUACCAACCGAAAUUGUCAUUUAAAAGGUACUGGAACGUUGCGCUGUGGAAGCAGCUCUUCACCACGCUGCUGAACCCGGGCUCCAACGGGAACCACGUAGGCGACCUCCGGAGCCUCCGGAGAUCGUUCCAGGAGUACAUGUGCAGCAACUAUCAGCUGGUGGUCAAGCUGAACCAGCUGCUGGCAAAGCAGAAGGCCUCCCUGUGCUCAUCCUGA
This 1014-nucleotide ribosomal RNA is filed under the name Triticum aestivum (bread wheat). RNAcentral's name for it is "partial small subunit ribosomal RNA". Lineage: Eukaryota; Viridiplantae; Streptophyta; Magnoliopsida; Poales; Poaceae. The record is from RNAcentral.